Pezoporus flaviventris is the source of this 941-nucleotide long non-coding RNA. RefSeq lists it as uncharacterized. The transcript has 3 exons. Lineage: Eukaryota; Metazoa; Chordata; Aves; Psittaciformes; Psittacidae. The record is from RefSeq and is a predicted model, not a curated record.
AUCGUUUCACUGGAACAUUUCCACACUGAGACAAACACCAGCAGCACUUUAAUUGUUUGCUCUACUCUUCCCUAGAGAACAUUACGGUCUCCCGUGUCCAAAAGGAAGAUAUAAAAUCCGUGACAUUCCUCAAAAGAAACAUUUCCUUCAUCCAGGAAUAUAAACCAAAUAUUUCCCUAGUAGGUCCUCAUCAAAGACCACUCAGCAGCUUCUAGGCUUUCUCUGCCUGGAUUUCCGAACAUGAACCACAGCUGAAACUAGGAGGAAACAGCUACAUGUGCUUAACUAUGGAGUAUUUUUUGGGGCAGAAAGGUUCUUUUUCUUACUUUCACUAGAAAUCUCUCAAAUUACCGGUGAUAAUGUUAAAAUAAGUGGUAAUGUUACAAGGUCACUGUUUAACUGGUCUCAACUAAAACUAAAACACAAUUGAAUUUUGGCAGAGCUUGUCAUCUUAGUCUAGGAAUCACGGUACCAGAGUCACCCCAGACGUCAUCUGGAGUAAACGGUCACAUCCACAAAGUGAUUCAGAUUCUAGGAUGCAUCAAGAAUGAAGGACCUUGAAAAAAGAUCAAAGAAAACAGUCUAAAAUGGGAUUCAUCUCACUAACCAUCUAAACUUUUGGCAGUGAAUUGAUACUGGUCAUGCAGGCGUCCUUUCUUAUCAACAGAUGAGCGCAUAGCCAGGAUACGAUGCAUCCCACCCACCCCUCUGCAGUGAUUAUAGAUGGAACUGAAGAUGAUGCACUUAGACCAACCUUUACAAAGCCAAAUACAGGUGAGCAAGAGAGAUCUGCCCUGCCUCGAACUUAUACUGGCAUCAGCAGAUGCUAACUUUGGCAAAGUUAAGUUACAUGAUGCACUUCUGGAAAGGUAAAAUUAAGACCCGAAAUUAAUUUGAGAGAGGACUGAAUCAAAUUCAGUUGGUUUUACGUGAAAAAUAAA